GACGAACGCUGGCGGCGUGCUUAACACAUGCAAGUCGAACGGAAAGGCCCUGCUUUUGUGGGGUGCUCGAGUGGCGAACGGGUGAGUAACACGUGAGUAACCUGCCCUUGACUUUGGGAUAACUUCAGGAAACUGGGGCUAAUACCGGAUAGGAGCUCCUGCUGCAUGGUGGGGGUUGGAAAGUUUCGGAGGUUGGGGAUGGACUCGCGGCGUAUCAGCUCGUUGGUUGGGUAGUGGCUUACCAAGGCUUUGACGGGUAGCCGGCCUGGGAGGGUGACCGGCCACAUUGGGACUGAGAUACGGCACAGACUCCUACGGGAGGCAGAAGUGGGGAAUAUUGCACAAUGGGCGGAAGCCUGAUGCAGCAACGCCGCGUGCGGGAUGACGGCAUUCGGGUUGUAAACCGCUUUCGCCUGUGACGAAGCGUGAGUGACGGUAAUGGGUAAAGAAGCACCGGCUAACUACGUG
RNAcentral lists this ribosomal RNA (468 nucleotides) under uncultured bacterium. RNAcentral's name for it is "partial 16S ribosomal RNA". It matches the Rfam family "Bacterial small subunit ribosomal RNA", at positions 28 to 507 of the family's 1533-position model. The record is from RNAcentral.